Non-coding RNA from Microcebus murinus (gray mouse lemur), 4680 nucleotides. Lineage: Eukaryota; Metazoa; Chordata; Mammalia; Primates; Cheirogaleidae. The record is from RefSeq and is a predicted model, not a curated record.
CCUGGCCUCAAGCCAUCCUCCCAUCUUGGCCUCCCAGAGUGCUGGGAUUACAGGUGUGCGCCACCAUACCUGGCCUGUGAAAUUUUUAAUUGGGAGAGAUGCUUUCAGAAUAUUGGAAAUUGGGAAAGAUUUCAGUGACCAUAACAGCAUGGUUAUGUGGGUGUGUUUCAUUUAAUUCUUAUGAAAAAUAUAGGUAAUAAAUAUUAUUACUGACAGCUUGACACACAAGGGUGGUAAGAGGCACAGUUGAGUUAUAUAAACCAAGAUCUGCCUGACUACAAAGCUUGUCUACACCCAUGCACACCGUUUGACUGCAUGGUGUCUCAGCCUGAAAGUGUAAAUAUUUGAGUUGCUCUGGAAGAAGAUACGGAGGAAGGGUGUGGAGUAGGGACAUUCUAGAUACAAGUGGCAGAGAUGUGCUGGGGCAAGGUGCUUGCUGAAACUUCCCUGACGUAUGAGGAAGGGAAGAAAGAGCAAGGAGGCUGCACAAGUACCGUGGGGAUGAGAUUGCAGAGUAGAAAUCUUAGGAUGCCACUGUGUGUUGGGCUUGGUAGGCCAUGGCAAGAUGUCAAAGAUGUAUGGACAGAGAUGUCAUGAAAACUAACCAGCAGAAAUGUAGGGAAUGGAGAGGAAGCAGAUGGAGGGGAAGCAGAUGGAGAACAGUUAAGAGGCUGAAGAAUUGAUAUGAGGAGGUCUGGAUUGGGGUGGUCACUUAGAAUGAAAACAGGGGUAUAAGUUCAAGAGACCUUGCAAGAGGUGGAACCCGUGAGACUUGGCACCUUCAUUGAUGAGAAAUAGAGGAGAGAAUGACAGAUGUAGGUUUCAGGCUGAGAGGACUAGUAGAAUGAUGGUUCUAUGAACAGGAAUAAUAAAAUCAGUUCUGGUAGUCGAGUAUAGCAAUUCAUCUUUUUGCUGGUAUACCUAAGAAAGAACUACUAACUGUAGUGGAAAAGAAAAAAAAAGAUGCUAUGAAAUUUGAAGGUCAAAAGGGAGUCUGGCUACAGGUAGGAAUUUGGGAUUGUGAAGCAAUUCCUCUUCCUCAAAAACAAUCUCUUAAAUUUCAAGGUUGGAUAGAGGCCGGAUGGUGUGAUCCUAACUUUAUUCAUUCAAUGAUCAUGAAAUACAUCUGCCUGGGAGUGGGGGGAUGAAAGGGUUUCUCUCCCUUUCAAAAAUGAUCCCUACCAACGUGAUAUUUAUAGAAGCAGCAAAACUUUCAUUUUGACCCCAGAGAACAGUAAUGACCCUUCCCUGAAUUCUUUCUAGCUCAGCUGAGACAGGGCUUGAAAAUCUAAACAAAGCUUCAGCAAACUCAGCACUGCUCAGUGUGUUCUGUGAAACAAUGAUUGUUGGUCCAUGAAAAAAAAAGAAGUCUGUGGUCAAAAGAGUUUGGAAAUGCUGGAGUUAAACAAAAAGUUUUUUUUUUAAUUAUAAAAAUCUUAUUUUAUUCUACUUCAUUUUAUUUUUAUUGGACUUUGCAGUUUUUAAAUUAUAAAUGUUCACUGUCAAUUACUAUAGACUGCUGAGCAUUUGAGAGAGUUUGAACUGGAGAAUAAUUUUUGAAAAUACUAAAAUUGACAUAAAUAAUUUGGGUCACAAAAUCUUGUUAACUUCUCAUUCAUCGGGGCCUGCUACAGGUAGGGAUAUUUCUUUUUCCUAGCUCCUGGUCUUCCUUCACGUGAUGUCCAUUUCAAACCCACCAUGCAGGAUCCCAAUCCUAAUAUCUUUUUUCCUUAAGGUUUUUGAACAAGACAGGCCAGACCCUCUCUCGUGUCUGCGUAGAGCCUGUCUCGAUUCUUGUUUGUGGACUCACUUCUUUCUUGGGUCUUUGAAAUGGAGGUGGACCUUACCUUCCUCCCCAUAAUGACAAUGACAUAGCAUUAAUUCUGCAAGUUUUAACUGAACAAUCAUCUCUCAAUAUAAUAUAAUCAUACAACAUUUGUUAUGGACUAAAUUCUGUCCUUCCAAAAUAUGUAUGUUGUUUUACUUGUUGAGAGCAAUUCCCUGCGUAUGCUACCUAGUGGAUUUUCAGAGUUGGCUAACUUCAGAUUCUACAUACAAAUUAGAUUACUCUGCCUUUUUUGAUUACUUUGUAUUGAUAAUUCUGCAUAAGAUAAUGAUCUGACUUUUCAUUGUUCAUAAAAGAUGGUGAUAAUCUUUGACCAUCUUUGUGGUCCUAACCUCCCAGUAUCUCAGAAAGUGACCUUAACUGGGGAUGGGGUUUUUACAGAGGUGAUUAAAUUAAAAUGAGGUCAUUAGGGUGGGUCCUAAUUCCAUAUGACUAGUGUCUUCAUAAGAAGAAGAAAUGUGGACACAGGCACGUACAGAGGGAAACCAUCUUAAAGACACAAGAAGAAGACGACCAUCUCCAAGCCAAGGAGAGAGGCCUGGUGGGAAUCCUGCCCUCACCAUCCUCAGAAGGAACAUGGACCUGGGAUUUCUAGUUUUCAAAUAAAUUUCCAUCGUUCCAGCCACCUUGUCUGUGGCACCUCAUUACAACAACUGUAGCAAACUAAUACAGGUACAAUAUUCAUUAACAAGGAACGAUAAACAGGAAAACUGAGGACUAUGAUUUUCUUUGGCUAAUUAAAGGACAUUUCUGAAGCCACAGUGAAGGUUGAGGUCAUUGAGGAAAAGACUAUAGAAAGAGAAGAAAGUUGAUCAAAGGAAGAAACGUGAAGAAAUGUCUUUUUUAAGUGGAAAGAGGAAGAGAUGAGGUCGUUGGUGGACUAUAGCAUGAAGUUUAUGAGCUAGAAAGGCUGAAAGGGAAAAGGUUCGUAGUUGGAGGUCAGUAAUCUCCAUCAAGUGUUGAAACAUGAUCGUCAUCUUUGACAAACAAUGAAAAGUCAGAUCAUUAUCUUAUGUAGAAUUAUCAACACAAAGUUAUCAAAAAGGCAGAGUAAUCUAAUUUGUAUGGAGAAUCUGAAUUUAGCCAACUCUGAAAAUCUACUAGGUAGUAUAAGCAGGGAAUUGUUCAUUAAUUUUUAAAAGCACAUGGUUAGUGCCAUGUUCUUGAAAAAUAGCAUUGAGUUAAUAAAAGACAUUUAAAAAAACUUAAGUUAUUUGAUAAAAUUUCUUAGGCCAAGGGGGAAUUUGUCGUUUCUCUGUCCUAGUUGAAGAGAACUAGAAAGGGCCUUUUGAGGGUUUAGAGAGGACAGAGGGUGACUCUCAUGUGACCAGUCAAUCCUUGUUGGAUGCUGUGGCCCAUAGAUGGGAAAGAUGACAUGAAAACUGGCCAGAUGUGAAACAGUACCACCAAGAACACACUAUUUAUGUCUUCCAGUUAAGCAGUUCUGGAAAAUCCCGUAAUUUAUUAAUAGCAUACAUUUUGUGACUCCACCUGGUGGCUUAAGAAAAAAGCAGAGAUGGAAAAGCUAGUUUGCAACCUGUGCAGUGGGAUUCAUUCUUUCAACCCUUAUUAUUGAUUGCAGAACCAUUUCAUCCUGUUUGAAGAAUGCAACAGUAUACACCAUGGCAACCAGUGCAUCAGAUGCGUACCACAUUGCAGCCACCCCAACAAGGCUAAUCAUAGUAACCAUUUUCAUUUCUCUCAUUAACUCUAACCAGUAUUUUUAGCCAUCUCUAAAGCCAGCAUUCGCUUUUAUUAUCUUGAAGAACAACUGUCAUGCUGAAUUUUAAAAUAACAUGCAUUUCUGAAUAUAAGGGGUACAUUUCCUCUCAUCAUUAUAUAUUUCAUUGUAUUCAACAUAUUAGAGUCUUUUUUUUUUCUAGUCUCUCUAUAUUAUAAAAUAAUUAUUCAGAUAAUGACAAAAAUGAGUAUGUUCCAUUAGCGUUUGGGUGCAUUAAAUCUCUAUCCGGAGUGCAUAGACUUUUAACAUUAUUAGACAGAAAAAUGUGCUUAUAAGAAAAAGAAGACUUGAACUCCUUUUAUAAAUGUAUCUCUUGCUGUUUCUUUUCCUCUUUCUAUGUAUCUGGAUGGAUAAAGUAGGAGACAGUCAGUAGGGUGAGAUGGAACUGAGUUCUAGGGUAAGAGGUCUUUCUCUUUUAUCUCCUUUCACUGGGCUUACAGGAUGCAUAGACACUUCAUGUAUUUUAGCUGGUUACUGUAAUUAAUCCAUGUUUUUAGUGUUCUUGACAAAAUAAUAAUAAUGAUAAUUUGAUCUACUACUACCCAAAAGCAAUUUUAAAAGUUCCAGACAGGCUUUUGCCUGGGCAGAGGGUCAGCUAAUAGGUAUCAUAACCAAAGGUCUCCUACAAUGUGUUCAUACUGUGCUUGGAAUUAUAAAAAUCUAUUUAUUUAAUAUUUACAUGAAUCAUAAAAAGUUGAAAUUAGUACCUUGAUGUUUCUUAUUAUACGAGGAGAGGCUCAAGAGACUGGAUCAGUGGAUAAGCAGUGGGGUCAAGAACUAUGAACUAUGAACUAUGAACUAUGGCUGAAAGCCCAGGUCUGUUUUACCAGGCCUCUCGUUUGCUUCCGACAUAAAUUAUAAAGAUGACUAGGUGUGCAGAGUCACAGAAAAUCACCCAAUUGCAGCAAGCUACUGACUAUUUUGUAAAAUGUUUUGCUGUUAAAUUUUAUUCUAGCAGCCAGGAGUGAGCUCAUGUACCCGAACCUGGGGAAAACAUGCAUGCCAUCUAGGGGCUGAAACAGCUGAGUUAUGUUACCAGUGUGUGUUGUAGCCGUAUGCAGUACGUGAUCAACCAGCUUAGUGGAUUAACUCC